This 407-nucleotide unclassified non-coding RNA is filed under the name fungal sp. RNAcentral's name for it is "partial internal transcribed spacer region". The stretch from base 1 to 46 matches the Rfam family "Eukaryotic small subunit ribosomal RNA", at positions 1786 to 1831 of the family's 1831-position model. Lineage: Eukaryota; Fungi. The record is from RNAcentral.
AAGUCGUAACAAGGUUUCCGUAGGUGAACCUGCGGAAGGAUCAUUAACACGUAUCCAACGUUAAACAACCCUGUGAACCUUUAGCGCUGCUCUCGGGUCCCGUCCACGUUUUUAGCAAUCCCUGGUAAAUCAUUGUUGAAUAGCUUUUGAUUCAGGCGAUUUCUACGCGAGUUUCUCGAUCGAGUGCGAGCAAGUGACCUGGCGUCCCCAAGCCUUCACUGUUCUGAAAGUGGCAGUGAUUGUGUAAGGACGGCGCAGUAACGAUCGCUAGAGGCCGACACGGCCGGCGACCGGGUCCCUGGGCGCCAAAGUCCCCUAAUAACCCCUUGCACGAUUCCCCGCCCAGCGUGAAAAAAACCCUGGGUAAAAAAACCGAACAACUGUUAACAAUGGGUAUCUUGGUUCUC